This 253-nucleotide ribosomal RNA is filed under the name uncultured bacterium. RNAcentral's name for it is "partial 16S ribosomal RNA". It matches the Rfam family "Bacterial small subunit ribosomal RNA", at positions 524 to 776 of the family's 1533-position model. The record is from RNAcentral. RNAcentral also lists the same sequence under 1 other name.
UACAGAGGUCUCAAGCGUUGUUCGGAAUCACUGGGCGUAAAGGGUGCGUAGGCGGCGCGGAAAGUCAGAUGUGAAAUCCGGGGGCUCAACCCCCGAAUAGCAUCCGAUACUCCCGCGCUCGAGGGCUGUAGGGGGGUCUGGAAUUCUCGGUGUAGCAGUGAAAUGCGUAGAUAUCGAGAAGAACGCUCGUGGCGAAGGCGAGACCCUGGACAGCAUCUGACGCUGAGGCACGAAGGCUAGGGGAGCAAACGGG